CUCUGCCAUCCACCUGCAGGAUGUGCUCCAGCUCAUCUUGGUGGCCUUCUGAACUCAGCCCAGUUUAUCAACAUUUCACAUGCACUGGGGAUCCAAACCUGGACACUGCAUCCCAGCCAAGUUUUAAUGUGUGUGCGGAAUAACCACAGUGCCUCAUCUGUGGGCUGUUCUCCUCUUCUACAGUCCUCAUCUCUUCAGUUGCCAGGAUUUGCUAUGAGAGCCUCAGCAAGCAACUAGAAAAGCUCCAGGCUAGAACAACUUCCAACAGCAAAAUGCAGUUGCAUUUCUCAAACCCAGACCAAGUGUCAAAUAAUAAUAAUGAAAAGUGAUGCCAUUUGACUGAAAAGUACAUGCCCUAAUUACUACAAAUUCUGGUGAUGAAUUCCCUUGCUAGAGAAACCAUGCCGUGAAAGGCUGGGUAUCCUGGGGACAGUCACACUUAAGCAAUACAUUUCUUCUUUGAUACAUUCUGUUCUUUGAGAUUGCUGAGUUGAACUCUGAGUUGAUAGAGGUCCUGGGACUGCAGCAGUUCUUCAUGGAGUGGAGGCCAUCUGCAUAUCAGCUUCCUGCCCAGCACAUUGGGGUUGUAAUUUUUGUGAAGAGGAAGGGCUGCUGCACCAUCAUAAUGGACUCCAAGCAGGGACCUGUCCGUGGACAUUCAUAUAUAGGCUGUGUAAGGGCCAAAUCCACAACAGAUAUAGAUCAGACAAGCAGCCACUAGAGCUUGGACCAGUUUGUCCCAGUUGAAGAUCUUUGGGGGAUCCAGGGUCUCCAUAUCUGGGUUAUACAGGUCCUCGCAGUUCCUGACACAAGAAUGUUCUCCCAGUCCUUUCUUGCACAAACCAGGUGAAUUACCCUUUGUUUUUCCAAGCAAUCCCUCUCCACCAACCCUCCCUCCGAUGCCACAAGCUAUUUAUAAGGCAAGCUGGGAACUGUACAGAACACCGUGACUCUCAUCACGGCGUGCCUCACAUGCUGUGCCUCUUGGAGCCUUCUCCCGAAGCAGCCAGUAAGUGUGCAUGGUCUUUUCUUGAUUUCCCCCCUUUCCUCUUUUCUUCCUCUGCUCCUGUUUUCAAUCAUGGGCUGCCUGGGCAGCGUGGUGGUCAGGCUUAGAGACUCGCUAGAACUGGAUUCAAGAUUUAUGAGAACUAGAUGUAACCAGGCCUCUCCCAGAGGUUUGGGAAGAACAGCUGGAGUCUGGCACUUUCCAUCAUGACAAGGACUAUUAAAAACUAAGAGUUGAACUGAAAAAGCCAGGGGGGGAAAAAUGUUUAGGCUUAAAAUGCAAAACAAGCGCCUGUAAUAUCCAGGCCGUCUGCGCAGGGGCCAAUUCUGACAGCAAACGGCUUUCACAGCUGCUGCGAGCUGGGCUUAUUUUAGAAACCACUUUAGAAACAAGAGGUUAAAAGCAAGGAGGGAGGGCGGGCGGGCGGAUUUCGGCGUGAGGGCUAUGUGUGUGUGCGAUCUCUCCGCUCAAAGCCCUGACUUGAGCGGAGCGGGUCACAUCCUGCGCUGUCUGGAGGCCAUUUCGGCCGGGCCACCCCACCCAGCACUGAUGUAAUGCGCCCCGGCCGGCUGUGUUUGUCGAGAUCGCUAAGGCGUGCGUGCGUCCGGCCCUCCGAGCCAGGAUGGCAAGGCUGCUCUGUGACGAGGAGGGAGGGGACGCCGACGAGGCAGUGAAAUUGGAAGUCUCCCACACUCCUCGACACUCCCACCCCAUCUUCGUCCUCCGUGCACUCCAUCAUCGUGGGGCCAUCGCAGCAUCCCACCUGCACUGUGCUUGAGGACAGCCCGAGGGGUGCUGGGGUUGGGAGGCUCAUGGGCCUCCUACUGCUGUCACCAGGCUUGCCACCAGGAGUGGGAUGGGGGGCCUGGGAGGGAAACCAGGCCUAGAAAACUGUGAGGAACCACUGGCACGAAGUCUACUGGCCAGGUGGCUUCUGCCGUCACCAGUGGAGAAGUAGGAGAUGUAUCAGCACAGCCAGCUUGGUUAUAUUCAUUUUUCCUAACCAGCACAGAGCAGAGGACCAUUCCAGACCUGAAUCAUCCAUUGACUGAGGUUUCAAUGUCAAGUCAGAAAGGCUCCCACACUCCUGACUCCUGCAUCUCACAGUUUUAUAGGAUGAAUCCAUACUAGUGUGCUAGCAAACAAAUAAAACAUUUUGGAUUUGCCUGCA
Molecule: long non-coding RNA, 2177 nt
Organism: Anser brachyrhynchus (Pink-footed goose)
Lineage: Eukaryota; Metazoa; Chordata; Aves; Anseriformes; Anatidae
Source: Ensembl